Molecule: ribosomal RNA, 434 nt
Filed under: uncultured bacterium
Lineage: Bacteria
Description: partial 16S ribosomal RNA
Rfam family: Bacterial small subunit ribosomal RNA
Source: RNAcentral
AGCGAACGCUGGCGGCAGGCCUAACACAUGCAAGUCGAACGAACCUUUCGGGGUUAGUGGCGGAUGGGUGAGUAACACGUGGGAACGUGCCUUUAGGUUCGGAAUAACUCAGGGAAACUUGUGCUAAUACCGAAUGUGCCCUUCGGGGGAAAGAUUAAUCGCCUUUAGAGCGGCCCGCGUCUGAUUAGCUAGUUGGUUGAGGUAAUGGCUCACCAAGGCGACGAUCAGUAGCUGGUCUGAGAGGAUGAUCAGCCACAUUGGGACUGAGACACGGCCCAAACUCCUACGGGAGGCAGCAGUGGGGAAUCUUGCGCAAGGGGCGAAAGCCUGACGCAGCCAUGCCGCGUGAAUGAUGAAGGUCUUAGGAUUGUAAAAUUCUUUCACCGGGGACGAUAAUGACGGUACCCGGAGAAGAAGCCCCGGCUAACUUCGUG